This 497-nucleotide ribosomal RNA is filed under the name uncultured bacterium. RNAcentral describes it as "partial 16S ribosomal RNA". It matches the Rfam family "Bacterial small subunit ribosomal RNA", at positions 28 to 507 of the family's 1533-position model. The record is from RNAcentral.
GAUGAACGCUGGCGGCGUGCCUAAUACAUGCAAGUCGAGCGAACAGACGAGGAGCUUGCUCCUCUGACGUUAGCGGCGGACGGGUGAGUAACACGUGGAUAACCUACCUAUAAGACUGGGAUAACUUCGGGAAACCGGAGCUAAUACCGGAUAAUAUAUUGAACCGCAUGGUUCAAUAGUGAAAGACGGUUUUGCUGUCACUUAUAGAUGGAUCCGCGCCGCAUUAGCUAGUUGGUAAGGUAACGGCUUACCAAGGCGACGAUGCGUAGCCGACCUGAGGGGGUGAUCGGCCACACUGGAACUGAGCCGCGGUCCAGACUCCUACGGGAGGCAGCAGUAGGGAAUCUUCCGCAAUGGGCGAAAGCCUGACGGAGCAACGCCGCGUGAGUGAUGAAGGUCUUCGGAUCGUAAAACUCUGUUAUUAGGGAAGAACAAAUGUGUAAGUAACUAUGCACGUCUUGACGGUACCUAAUCAGAAAGCCACGGCUAACUACGUG